This 176-nucleotide ribosomal RNA is filed under the name Scuticaria irwiniana. RNAcentral's name for it is "partial 5.8S ribosomal RNA". The stretch from base 1 to 155 matches the Rfam family "5.8S ribosomal RNA". Rfam says of the family: 5.8S ribosomal RNA (5.8S rRNA) is a component of the large subunit of the eukaryotic ribosome. It is transcribed by RNA polymerase I as part of the 45S precursor that also contains 18S and 28S rRNA. Lineage: Eukaryota; Viridiplantae; Streptophyta; Magnoliopsida; Asparagales; Orchidaceae. The record is from RNAcentral.
GACUCUCGGCAAUGGAUAUCUCGGCUCUCGCAUCGAUGAAGAGCGCAGCGAAAUGCGAUACGUGGUGCGAAUUGUAGAAUCCCGCGAACCAUCGAGUCUUUGAACGCAAGUUGCGCCCGAGGCCAGCCGGCCAGGGCACGUCCGCCUGGGCGUCAAGCGUUGCGUCGCUCCGUGCC